Molecule: transfer RNA, 65 nt
Filed under: Typhlatya galapagensis
Lineage: Eukaryota; Metazoa; Arthropoda; Malacostraca; Decapoda; Atyidae
Description: tRNA-Tyr
Source: RNAcentral
GGUUAAAUGGCUGAGAAUUAGGCGGUAAAUUGUAAAUUUACAGACGGAGAGCUCUCCUUUGACCA